This 253-nucleotide ribosomal RNA is filed under the name uncultured bacterium. RNAcentral describes it as "partial 16S ribosomal RNA". It matches the Rfam family "Bacterial small subunit ribosomal RNA", at positions 524 to 776 of the family's 1533-position model. The record is from RNAcentral.
UACGAAAGGGGCUAGCGUUGUUCGGAAUUACUGGGCGUAAAGCGCACGUAGGCGGCCUUGUAAGAUGGGGGUGAAAUCCCCGGGCUCAACCCGUGAUCUGCCUUCAUGACUGCAAAGCUAGAGGAUGCGAGAGGUUAGCGGAAUUCCGAGUGUAGAGGUGAAAUUCGUAGAUAUUCGGAAGAACACCAGUGGCGAAGGCGGCUAACUGGCGGAUUUCUGACGCUGAGGUGCGAAAGCGUGGGGAGCAAACAGG